This 256-nucleotide ribosomal RNA is filed under the name uncultured bacterium. Its description in RNAcentral is "partial 16S ribosomal RNA". It matches the Rfam family "Bacterial small subunit ribosomal RNA", at positions 15 to 263 of the family's 1533-position model. The record is from RNAcentral.
GAUCAUGGCUCAGGACGAACGCUGGCGGCGUGCCUAACACAUGCAAGUCGAACGAGGUUUUGGAAAGCUUGCUUUCCGAAACCUAGUGGCGGACGGGUGAGUAACGCGUGAGUAACCUGCCUUUCAGAGGGGGAAUAACGUUCUGAAAAGAACGCUAAUACCGCAUAACGUACAGUUACCGCAUGGUAGCAGUACCAAAGGAGCAAUCCGCUGAAAGAUGGACUCGCGUCCGAUUAGCUAGUUGGUGGGGUAAAGG